Molecule: ribosomal RNA, 254 nt
Filed under: uncultured bacterium
Lineage: Bacteria
Description: partial 16S ribosomal RNA
Rfam family: Bacterial small subunit ribosomal RNA
Source: RNAcentral
UACGUAGGGUGCAAGCGUUUGUCCGGAAUUAUUGGGCGUAAAGGGCUCGUAGGCGGUUUGUCGCGUCGGGAGUGAAAUCCACUGGCUUAACUGGUGGCUUGCUUUCGAUACGGGCAGACUGGAGGUAUGCAGGGGAGAACGGAAUUCCUGGUGUAGCGGUGAAAUGCGCAGAUAUCAGGAGGAACACCGGUGGCGAAGGCGGUUCUCUGGGCAUGUCCUGACGCUGAGGAGCGAAAGUGUGGGGAGCGAACAGG